Molecule: ribosomal RNA, 774 nt
Filed under: uncultured Neocallimastigales
Lineage: Eukaryota; Fungi; Neocallimastigomycota; Neocallimastigomycetes; Neocallimastigales
Description: partial large subunit ribosomal RNA
Rfam family: Eukaryotic large subunit ribosomal RNA
Source: RNAcentral
CGUGUCGCGCAUAUCUGCAUAUCAAUAAGCGGAGGAAAAGAAACUAACAAGGAUUCCCUUAGUAACGGCGAGUGAAGCGGGAAGAGCUCAAAUUUGAAAUCUUCAAGGUUCUACCUUGACGAAUUGUAGUUUAAAGAAGUGUUUUCUGUUAGAUGAGUAGCAAAAGUUCCUUGGAAUGGGACAUCAUAGAGGGUGAGAAUCCCGUAUUUGGUUAUUCAUUCUAGCUUUGUGAUACACUUUCAAAGAGUCGGAUUGUUUGGGAAUGCAGUCCAAAAUGGGUGGUAAAUUUCAUCUAAAGCUAAAUAUUGGCGAGAGACCGAUAGCGAACAAGUACCGUGAGGGAAAGAUGAAAAGAACUUUGAAAAGAGAGUUAAACAGUACGUGAAAUUGUCAAAAGGGAAGCGUUUGACACCAGUGUUGUUUUUCCGAAAAUCAAUUACGAAUGGCUUGAUUUUGUGUUGUAUUGACCUUAUCAGCUUUCUUCACUUUUUUCGAGUCUUUCUUAAUGCACUUUUCGGUUAACAAGUCAACAUCAAUUUCUUUUGUUGUAAAAGAGUAUUCGGAAGGUGGCUUUCUUUUCGGAGAAAGUGUUUAUAGCCCUAUACUUCUACAAUCGGAGAGAUUGAGGUCUGCAGCGUAGAUCCUUCGGGGUUAGAUACACUUGUGCUAAGUCGUAGCUUUUCAUAGACAACUUGUUGACUAUGUUUAGUCAUGCGGCUUACUCGCUUGUGCUAUUUUACCUACGCUUAGGAUGUUGACGAUCAGCUGAGCGCG